UACGUAGGGUGCAAGCGUUGUCCGGAAUUAUUGGGCGUAAAGAGCUCGUAGGCGGUUCGUCGCGUCGGCUGUGAAAACCCGGAGCUCAACUCCGGGCCUGCAGUCGAUACGGGCGGACUCGAGUUCGGCAGGGGAGACUGGAAUUCCUGGUGUAGCGGUGAAAUGCGCAGAUAUCAGGAGGAACACCGGUGGCGAAGGCGGCUUGCUGGGCCUUACCUGACGCUGAGGAGCGAAAGCGUGGGGAGCGAACAGG
RNAcentral lists this ribosomal RNA (253 nucleotides) under uncultured bacterium. Its description in RNAcentral is "partial 16S ribosomal RNA". It matches the Rfam family "Bacterial small subunit ribosomal RNA", at positions 524 to 776 of the family's 1533-position model. The record is from RNAcentral.